Molecule: ribosomal RNA, 530 nt
Filed under: uncultured Bacteroidota bacterium
Lineage: Bacteria; Pseudomonadati; Bacteroidota
Description: bacterial SSU rRNA
Rfam family: Bacterial small subunit ribosomal RNA
Source: RNAcentral
GGGCGAGAGCCUGAUCCAGCCAUGCCGCGUGCAGGAAGACUGCCCUAUGGGUUGUAAACUGCUUUUAUAUGGGAAGAAACACUCUCACGUGUGAGAGCUUGACGGUACCAUAAGAAUAAGGACCGGCUAACUCCGUGCCAGCAGCCGCGGUAAUACGGAGGGUCCGAGCGUUAUCCGGAAUCAUUGGGUUUAAAGGGUCCGUAGGCGGGCAGCUAAGUCAGWGGUGAAAGUCUGUGGCUCAACCAUAGAAUUGCCAUUGAUACUGGUUGUCUUGAAUUAUUGUGAAGUGGUUAGAAUAAGUAGUGUAGCGGUGAAAUGCAUAGAGAUUACUUAGAAUACCGAUUGCGAAGGCAGAUCACUAACAAUACAUUGACGCUGAGGGACGAAAGCGUGGGGAGCGAACAGGAUUAGAUACCCUGGUAGUCCACGCCGUAAACGAUGGAUACUAGCUGUUUGAUCAUUAGAUUAAGUGGCUAAGCGAAAGUGAUAAGUAUCCCACCUGGGGAGUACGUUCGCAAGAGUGAAACUCA